AUCUUUCUAUUAUAACGUUAGUAUAGGUGACUUCCAAUCACCGGGUCUUGGUUAAAAUCCAAGGAAAGAUA
This 71-nucleotide transfer RNA is filed under the name Serranus tortugarum (chalk bass). Its description in RNAcentral is "tRNA-Gly". It matches the Rfam family "tRNA". Rfam says of the family: Transfer RNA (tRNA) molecules are approximately 80 nucleotides in length. The record is from RNAcentral. Lineage: Eukaryota; Metazoa; Chordata; Actinopteri; Perciformes; Serranidae. RNAcentral also lists the same sequence under 1 other name.